GAUGAACGCUGGCGGCGCGCCUAACACAUGCAAGUCGAACGAUUAAAGCACCUUCGGGUGUGUAUAAAGUGGCGAACGGCUGAGUAACACGUGGGCUACCUGCCCCUUUCAUUGGGAUAGCCACGGGAAACCGUGGAUAAUACCGAAUACUUCGAGACUUCCGCAUGGAAGACUCGAGAAAGCUCCGGCGGAGAGGGAUGGGCCCGCGGCCUGUUAGCUUGUUGGUGGGGUAACGGCCUACCAAGGCAAUGAUGGGUAGCUGGGUUGAGAGACCGACCAGCCAGAUUGGGACUGAGACACGGCCCAGACUCCUACGGGAGGCAGCAGUGGGGAAUCUUGCACAAUGGGCGAAAGCCUGAUGCAGCGACGCCGCGUGCGGGAUGAAGGCCUUCGGGUUGUAAACCGCUUUCAGCAGGGACGAGGCGAAAGUGACGGUACCUGCAGAAGAAGCCCCGGCUAACUACGUG
This 467-nucleotide ribosomal RNA is filed under the name uncultured bacterium. Its description in RNAcentral is "partial 16S ribosomal RNA". It matches the Rfam family "Bacterial small subunit ribosomal RNA", at positions 28 to 507 of the family's 1533-position model. The record is from RNAcentral.